UAGCCUUAAAAAUUUUUGGUAUUAAGUUGUUGCACAAGAAGACCAUCCAAGUGUUGUUUAAUGUUAUCGUUUUAAUCCAAAUAUAGGAGAAACUCUCUCAAUCUUCCAAGGAGAACUAAACGUACAAAGAAAACUUGUAAGGAGUUUCCAAAGCAAGUGUCUUUGGUCCAGAAAUCUAGAUGAGGUAUUUACUUCUGAACAACUUCAUAUUUUGUUGUGAUUCAAAGAACAAUCUUCAAUUAGCGGAGACUGUUAACUAAAUAACCAAUUUGAAAUUUUACUUAUUUUUUGUCCACAGAUUGUGGAAAAGCUCGUUAUCGUUGUAACAUGGAUAAAUCAAACAAUAAUCAAAGAAUUUGGAGUUGACAAUACAGGUGCCUACAAUUGACGAGUCAUACACAUUGGGGUAUAUGCAAUGAAAUACAAAUCCAUAUGCCCCAAUAUGUCCUAGCAUUUCUGUUUUCGAUUCUAUAGGCUUGCAGCAGCAUUUAACCACUUAUCUUGAACUUUUUUCUUUACAAACCUACCAUUGCAGAUAAAACAUUGCUUAUCAAGGACAGAAGUAAUGGCCAGAAACUGGGUGCCGUUGGUCUUGCUUUGCAUUAUGCGAACAUAAUCAGCCAGAUAAAUCUCAUUGUAAGCUUUCCCCCCUCAUUUCUUCAAUUUUCUCAAACCUACUCCCAAAUUUGAUGUUUGUUGAUUAAAAGUGCUAUUUUUUUAUAGGCGUGCCGUCCAACUUCCAUUCCUUCAAACAUGAGGGAUGCAUUAUACCGGGCAUUGCCUACAAGCAUUAAAAUAGCUCUGCGUUCUCGAUUGCGGGCUGUGGAUGCAAGAGAGGAGGUAUUACCUUGUUUCAUUCACUUCGUACUGUUAGAUUGAUGCAGCUUUGUAAUUCCUACUCACUCAUUAACAAGUCAUGAACAAAAAUGGUGUUUCUGCAGCCAACUUAUUAUGACGUCAAAACUGAAAUGGAUAAGAUCCUUGAAUGGCUUGUUCCGAUUGCUGCAAACACGAGCAAGUAGGAGAACUUUUCUCUUAUCCACUAAAAACAACUUUUUGUAACGACAAAUAAGUACUCUUCACCAGUUAUUUUUCAAAAUUUUCAUGCGAUCUAAUUUUUCUGAUUUUUCCCCUAAAAGUGUCUAAUUCUGCUCUGGAAUCGUUUUAAAAUUCUAAAAUCUCAAUCACGGUCAACUAUACAAUCAAACACCAUCAAAUUUGAAAAUGGCUUUAUUACAUAAAGUCAUCUCAAACCUCUUCUUUCUCUCAAUCCAUUUCUUUGCUUUCCAUUGCACGUUCCUAAUUUCACCACGAUCAAUGCAGAGCGCAUCAAUCUUGUGGCAGAAUUGGAGAAUGGGCAACCCAAAGGUUCGUUUCAUGAUUCUUCUUUCCUAGAAAGAGAACAAGAGAACAAAGUUCCAACAUGGAGCAACGAAUUAAAAUGAUUUUUCCAUUGUUUUUUUGUGUAGUAAGGAACACAGCAAAGGCAGAGCUACACAAAACAACAAUGCAAACCGCCUUCAAACGCUCUACUAUGCAGACAAAGUAAAAACAGAGUUACAAAUUCUUGAAUUAGUCACAUUGCUUCACCAUCUCAUCCAUUUAGCAAAACACCAACAACGACGCUCCUCAUCUCUCCGUUGCCGAUCACCAACUCCCAAGGACAUGGCAAAUACUUCUCGUCGUAUCCAAUUCAAGAGCCAAAUUAUCAGAACCACCAAGGAUGGAUUUCCGACCGACAAUAUACCAUCGCCCGGCCAAACUCCGAUCAGAAAAAAGGUG
RNAcentral lists this long non-coding RNA (1782 nucleotides) under Cucumis sativus (cucumber). RNAcentral describes it as "long non-coding RNA (CSAT_LNC000733)". The record is from RNAcentral. Lineage: Eukaryota; Viridiplantae; Streptophyta; Magnoliopsida; Cucurbitales; Cucurbitaceae.